RNAcentral lists this transfer RNA (72 nucleotides) under Pangasianodon hypophthalmus (striped catfish). It matches the Rfam family "tRNA". From Rfam's summary of the family: Transfer RNA (tRNA) molecules are approximately 80 nucleotides in length. Their secondary structure includes four short double-helical elements and three loops (D, anti-codon, and T loops). Lineage: Eukaryota; Metazoa; Chordata; Actinopteri; Siluriformes; Pangasiidae. The record is from Rfam by way of RNAcentral.
UCCCUGGAGGACUAGCGGUUAGGCCACAGCAUUCUCACUGCUAUGGCCCGGGUUCGAUUCCUGGCCAGGGAA